Long non-coding RNA from Beta vulgaris subsp. vulgaris (sugar beet), 599 nucleotides. RefSeq lists it as uncharacterized. Lineage: Eukaryota; Viridiplantae; Streptophyta; Magnoliopsida; Caryophyllales; Amaranthaceae. The record is from RefSeq and is a predicted model, not a curated record. The transcript is spliced from 3 exons.
UGAAAACAGGAUCUUCAUCCCCCUCCUUCUCCUUUGACUUGUUCAAGGCACAAGAACCAAGAAAAAUUCAACACCUUCCUCCAUCUCCUCCCUUCUUCUUCGUCUGAAUUUAACACUCAAACCAAGAUUUUGCAACACCUUCCUUCAUCUCCCUCCUUCUCCUUCGUCUGGUUCAAAGCACUCAAACAAAGAAUUUCAACACAACUCACUCAACCACCAUUACGUUUUCUGCCCAAACCUCUUUUAUAAAUACUGAACUCUCUCAGCAAAUUACUCAAGUAAAACAAUUCAAAAGACUCCGAUUUCGUAGACGAGUAUUACCAGGAGUGCUUAACUUUUGGGCACGUGGCACGAGAUCUGGAAAUAUCUCGAAGUCGUCUCCCUCGAGUCAUUGGAAAACUCGGCCUUAAUCUUUUCAGAUGGAAUAAGAAUUGUACGCGGAUAUAUAGUUACUCAUAACAUUAUUUACAGAUGGAAUUGUUCUAGAUUCAAUUUUAGUUUAACACUUCAUUGUAUCUAUAUUAUUAUAGUGGUUUGUAAUACAUAUAUGACAUUAUUAAUGCAGAAAUACAUUUUUUUGUAUCUAUAUUAUUAGGCAA